Rosa rugosa (rugosa rose) is the source of this 1515-nucleotide long non-coding RNA. RefSeq lists it as uncharacterized. The record is from RefSeq and is a predicted model, not a curated record. NCBI's taxonomy places the organism in Eukaryota, Viridiplantae, Streptophyta, Magnoliopsida, Rosales, Rosaceae. The transcript is spliced from 8 exons.
AUGCCAAAAUGUGCUUCAGACGACACACUUCAGACGACAUAAGUUUUGUUUUAUGUCGUCUGAGUUUUUCAGACGACAUAAUUUUUUUUUGUGUUGUCUGAAUAUAGACUAAAACCAUACUCGUUCAAUUUGAAAAAAUGGUGAGCAUUCAGACAACACAUUUGUGUAGUUGUAAAAGAUGAUGAUUUCCUAUCUCAAAUGCGGAGGGAUAUCCAAAAUUUGAUCAAGUACUUUUCCCUCUCAAAUAGCCGAACUCUAGUUGACUAGAAAAUGUUGUGACAUUUAGACAACAUUUAAAUGUCGUCUGAGUGUGGAGCUUGUUUUAAAAUUUUUGAAGUUAUUUUGACUUGUGCUUUUUUACAUAGAUCCCUCGUAAUUAAAUCAUUUUCUGUCCUUCUCACUCCAACACCAGCCCGCGCGCUCUCUCUUUCUCACUCAGCUCGACCUAGAACCCGCGAAACUGGAAAACUCAAACACCAGCCUCUCUCCUUCUCACUCAGCUCUCUCAGAUCUCUCAGAUCUCGAUUCUCACUCUCUCCUCUCUCCUUCAUCUUCUCACUCUCUCGAUUCUUCUUGGUCUCUCCUUCUUCUUCUUAGCCUCUACUUCAUCUUUCGCGACCGGAUUAGUGGACCUCCCCAGCAACAACAGAGCUGUUUUUAAUUCGGAUAUUGGGAAACUUGGUGCUACAAAAGGAUUUGCUGGGAAGGAUGUAGUGAUUGUGGCGGCCUACCGAACUGCCAUUUACAAAGCAAAGCGAGGCGGUUUUAAGGAUACUUUAGCUGAUGAUUUACUGGCACCUGUUUUGAAGAUAUGGAGGAUGAAGUUAGAGAAUUGGGGGAAAGAAGAGGAACUUCAAGUUUGGAUGCCCAAGGCUGAGAAGGUUGGUAGGGAUUCAAGGGGGAUGCUUGGCCUACAUUACCUAUUGUGGACCCAAAAACUAGAGAGGAGAGGCAUGUUACAAUUUAUGUGGAUGAUGGCAUCCGGCCAAAUGCAAACAUGACUGAUUUGGCGAAAUGGAAGCUUGCAUUUAAAUCAGAUGGGACAACAACUACAGGAAAUGCUAGCCAGGUAAGUGAUGGUGCUUGAGUAGUACUCCUGAUGAAGAGAAGUGUAGCUAUUCAGAAGGGACUUCCUAUUAUUGGUGUUUUCAGUGGGAAAGAAAAGCAAAUCACUACACAAUGGAGAAUGUUGAUGUUGUCCCGGCAGAGUAGGCAAAGUAUGUUCUUAAGUUUAAAGAUAGCUAGUGUGUAGGUUAAUUAGUAGUUGGAGAUAUGUAGCAUAAGCUUUUGGACAUGCAUAGUUGAUAUAUAGGCCAGACUUUGACUUACAGUACUGCUAGCUAUUUUGCUGUGUUGUUUAGUUGGUUGCCCAGAUUGUGCAGUGCUUCUGGUUUAUUAGCUUGCAGUACUGUGUGCAUAUAUUUUGUUGGCUGCCCAGAUUAGUAGAUUUGGGUCAUUUUGAACUGAUGCUCAUGAUUAAUUUGUGUACAUGAGACAAUGGUGGAUUAAUGGAAA